This 69-nucleotide transfer RNA is filed under the name Marmota monax (woodchuck). Its description in RNAcentral is "tRNA.Asp". The record is from RNAcentral. Lineage: Eukaryota; Metazoa; Chordata; Mammalia; Rodentia; Sciuridae.
GGGGUUGUGGCUCAGUGGCAGAGCACUUGCCUGUCACAUGCGGGGCAUCAGGUUCGAUCCUCAACACCA